GCCGAUUUAGCUCAGUAGGUAGAGCGCAACAAUGGUAAUGUUGAGGUCAUCAGUUCGAUUCUGGUAAUCGGCACCA
RNAcentral lists this transfer RNA (76 nucleotides) under Erysipelotrichaceae bacterium. RNAcentral describes it as "tRNA-Thr". It matches the Rfam family "tRNA". From Rfam's summary of the family: Transfer RNA (tRNA) molecules are approximately 80 nucleotides in length. Their secondary structure includes four short double-helical elements and three loops (D, anti-codon, and T loops). Lineage: Bacteria; Bacillati; Bacillota; Erysipelotrichia; Erysipelotrichales; Erysipelotrichaceae. The record is from RNAcentral.